RNAcentral lists this ribosomal RNA (264 nucleotides) under uncultured Actinomycetes bacterium. RNAcentral describes it as "uncultured actinobacterium partial 16S ribosomal RNA". It matches the Rfam family "Bacterial small subunit ribosomal RNA", at positions 255 to 511 of the family's 1533-position model. The record is from RNAcentral. Lineage: Bacteria; Bacillati; Actinomycetota; Actinomycetes.
AGCAGUAUGGCUUACCAGGCGAGACGGGUAGCUGGUCUGAGAGGAUGGCCAGCCACACGGGGACUGAGACACGGCCCCGACUCCUACGGGAGGCAGCAGUGGGGAAUAUUGGGCAAUGGGCGCAAGCCUGACCCAGCGACGCCGCGUGGGUGAUGAAGGCCUUCGGGUCGUAAAGCCCUGUCGGGUGGAAAGAAUGAGGACUGGGCAAAUAGCGCAGUCCUGUGACGGUACCACCGAAGGAAGCACCGGCCAAUUACGUGCCAG